UGGAUCGUGCUGUUCUGCUUUUCUGUGUUGUGUUGUGUUGACUCUGUAAGUGUGUGCGUAGAAGCUAGGAUCCUAGGAAUAACAUCAAUUUUCCUGGAGCAACAGUUUAGUUCAUGAACCUUGUUUUUGCGUUGUGUUGUGUCGACUCUGUCAAUGUGUGUGUAGAAGUUGUGGGAAGAUCAACAUUUUCCUAGAAUAUUAGUCUGGUUCGCGACCUUAUAAGGCAAGGAAUUUAUAGCUGCCUAGGAAAAAUAGCUGUCACUUGGUGGGAGAAUGUAUUUUAAAUUGUAGUUGUAACGUCCCUUUCUAUUGGUGGAAAUUUUUCUAGAGUAUAGUAACUGCCAAUCACAGUUGGUGUUGGUUAGGUCUAUUUAGUAUGGACGAUCUCACAGCUGUCCACCUCAAGACGAGAAAAGCGAAGUGGCUUCACUCAGCGUCUGUCCUCCGACAUAAGCAGUACUAAAUAAUGUAAUCUGUUCAGAACUUGGUAUUAAUCUUGGCUUCCAUGCCAGCUUUAGGCUUUUUUUUAGUAUUUGGCUCUGGAACCUUUUGUUCCAGCAGCAUUUUUAGUCUUUUGCCUAUGUAGUCGCUUUAAUUAAGAAGAGAGAGAGAGAGUAUCAAAUUGUAACCUCACAAUGGAGAUUUUUCUCCUAUAACCGCUACUAAAGCGGUGUAAGUACGGGGAUCAACGUACGAAUCAUCAUUUCAUGGGUUCAUGAACGUGUGUCUUUAAGCCGCUGAGACGCCUCUGAAUCGAUGGCCGUCCUAGCUUGGGGUAUGCUGUCUCCUGUCCAUCUGGACGUGUAGAGCUCGAUCACCGAGCCUAGAUUCAAUUUGAAGAAACAGCUAUGAGUGUUGCAUCAAAGACCACCAAGUCUUGUGAAUGGCGAUUUUGCGUUUGAUUGAGCUGAUAGACGAUGGCUGCAGUGUUGAGUCUUGAUGUUGUCCGUGAUGCUGAUCUUCAAUAGCAGGUCUGGUGAGCCAACAUACUGUAAGGUUGGUGCCGAGACAAAUUGUCUAUCAUAUAUUAUUUUUUGAAAUGUUUGUCUAUCAAAAUUCAGUUAUCUGAUUAGUACUGGAAUUUCAGUUGUUUGAUAAUAUUUAA
Molecule: long non-coding RNA, 1105 nt
Organism: Nilaparvata lugens (brown planthopper)
Lineage: Eukaryota; Metazoa; Arthropoda; Insecta; Hemiptera; Delphacidae
Exons: 3
Source: RefSeq, a predicted model, not a curated record